Molecule: ribosomal RNA, 468 nt
Filed under: uncultured bacterium
Lineage: Bacteria
Description: partial 16S ribosomal RNA
Rfam family: Bacterial small subunit ribosomal RNA
Source: RNAcentral
GACGAACGCUGGCGGCGUGCUUAACACAUGCAAGUCGAACGGAAAGGCCCUGCUUUUGUGGGGUGCUCGAUUGGCGAACGGGUGAGUAACACGUGAGUAACCUGCCCUUGACUUUGGGAUAACUUCAGGAAACUGGGGCUAAUACCGGAUAGGAGCUCCUGCUGCAUGGUGGGGGUUGGAAAGUUUCGGCGGUUGGGGAUGGACUCGCGGCUUAUCAGCUUGUUGGUGGGGUAGUGGCUUACCAAGGCUUUGACGGGUAGCCGGCCUGAGAGGGUGACCGGCCACAUUGGGACUGAGAUACGGCCCAGACUCCUACGGGAGGCAGCAGUGGGGAAUAUUGCACAAUGGGCGGAAGCCUGAUGCAGCAACGCCGCGUGCGGGAUGAAGGCCUUCGGGUUGUAAACCGCUUUCGCCUGUGACGAAGCGUGAGUGACGGUAAUGGGUAAAGAAGCACCGGCUAACUACGUG